Molecule: ribosomal RNA, 269 nt
Filed under: Rhizobium phaseoli
Lineage: Bacteria; Pseudomonadati; Pseudomonadota; Alphaproteobacteria; Hyphomicrobiales; Rhizobiaceae
Description: partial 16S ribosomal RNA
Rfam family: Bacterial small subunit ribosomal RNA
Source: RNAcentral
UGAGCUAAUCUCCAAAAGCCAUCUCAGUUCGGAUUGCACUCUGCAACUCGAGUGCAUGAAGUUGGAAUCGCUAGUAAUCGCGGAUCAGCAUGCCGCGGUGAAUACGUUCCCGGGCCUUGUACACACCGCCCGUCACACCAUGGGAGUUGGUUUUACCCGAAGGUAGUGCGCUAACCGCAAGGAGGCAGCUAACCACGGUAGGGUCAGCGACUGGGGUGAAGUCGUAACAAGGUAGCCGUAGGGGAACCUGCGGCUGGAUCACCUCCUUU